RNAcentral lists this ribosomal RNA (899 nucleotides) under Rhodococcus qingshengii. RNAcentral describes it as "partial 16S ribosomal RNA". The record is from RNAcentral. Lineage: Bacteria; Bacillati; Actinomycetota; Actinomycetes; Mycobacteriales; Nocardiaceae.
UCGACUUCCUCCCUGCUGUCGGCCGACACACACAUCAGUGCUUCACGAGCUUUCGACGUGUCGCAGAUGUCGUCGGCGAUGAAGUCCCCGAAAACGCGGUUGCUUCAGGAACAUGACGGUGGCGGAAUCGCUGACGAUCAUCGAGACAGUGUUCUCGUCACUGAACAUGUCGUUGAACUCGAAGCCGAGGCCACUGAAGAAUGCACGGGUAGCGACGACGUCCUUGACCGGCAUGUUGACGAAGAGAAGACGAGACAUUGGGUGCUCCUUGAACUCGGUUGACUGAUUACUGAACGCUUCGGUUCCUGUUGGUUCCUGCUCAUACAGACCGCAGUGGGCGCAGAAAGUCAUCGCGAGAAGCAAAAAUUCGAGAAAAGUAUCGCCUGUUAACCGGCGCCAGUGCUCUGACCUGGCGAUUUGGUGUUGUGUUGAUCUUCGCCGUAACUUUGUCCAGGUCAGAGCGACACGGACACCGACUCCCACCUGCGAGGGUGAGUGACACGAGGUUGUACGAAGUGCCUGGCGAACACAAUCCAGUUUUUCUUCUCGGGUUCCGGUUUGCGCCGGUGGCCAGGUUGGGAUAGGCUGGGAAAGUUGCCCCGGAGCGGCGGCCGUAGGGUCGUGGUGAUGGUGUGUGCGUGUUCUUUGAGAACUCAACAGUGUGUCGAUGAAUGUCAGUGCCAAAUAUUUUUUGGUACUUCACAUCCGCGAAUGAUCAACCGCCUCUUGGGGUUUGGUUGGUUUGUGUGUGGUGUGAGUAUUUUUUCGUCGGUAUUGUUCAUUCUUCCGUCUGAAUGGUUGCCGACACAUUUUUUGCUAGUUGAGUUUUUUGCUAGUGAUUUGACUCUUUUUGUCUAUGACUGAUUAGCCGGCCUUCGGGUUGGUGAUAUCUAGAGUCU